AAUCAUCAACCAUUUCAAAUUUAUUUUGAAUUGGAUUGGACUUGGGAUUUGCUGGUCUCUUGACGAGUCAGCUAUCCUUAAAUGAAUUAGCAUGAACUAGUGUUCGUCUGAUUGGCUUGAUAAUUUAUCCGCCAUGACAAAGACCAAUGAAUGUUCUGCUUAUAAUAAACAAAUCUCUUGACA
Molecule: unclassified non-coding RNA, 183 nt
Filed under: uncultured Agaricomycetes
Lineage: Eukaryota; Fungi; Basidiomycota; Agaricomycetes
Description: sequence contains ITS2
Source: RNAcentral